GGGUCUGAGUGUAACAUAGAAUUAGAGGGGUUGUAUAGCGGUGUCACGUCUAGACUAAUUCCAGUUUGGCUAUCGUGAAAACCCUAGCCAGUGGUUGUUCUCUUUACAUGCAAUUUCACACCUAGUUGCGAUCAACUAUUGUGUAAAAGCUGUGAAAAGGACCAUAGCUCUGGUGGCCUUGAUCUUAGGUUUAUGGAGUCAUCCCCG
Molecule: long non-coding RNA, 207 nt
Filed under: Vigna radiata
Lineage: Eukaryota; Viridiplantae; Streptophyta; Magnoliopsida; Fabales; Fabaceae
Description: long non-coding RNA (VRAD_LNC009135)
Source: RNAcentral